CGACCCGCCUUCCGACGCCGUCUGCAGCAGGUGCCCAUAAAUCCCGGAGCCUGGGGCCCCGGCCAGAGCUGCGGAGCCCGAGGAGGACCUGGUGGCUUCCCCGCGCGGCGAGGGCAGCGGGUCCCGGUUUCAGUCAGAAUAUGGCUCCCAACAUGAAGUCAGCCAAGAAAUUACUCGUUUUCUUAGGGAAAUCAGUAUUUAGUCUUCUGGAGACUGCGAUUUUCACCUUAAUCCCAAAGCCAAGGAAGGAUGUCGCUGGUGAAAUCGUACUCAUAACUGGUGCUGGGAGUGGACUCGGAAGGCUCUUAGCCCUUCAGUUUGCCCGCCUUGGAGCUGUGCUUGUUCUCUGGGACAUCAACACGGAGGGAAAUGAGGAGACGUGCAAGAUGGCUCAGGACGCUGGAGCCACAAGAGCCUAUGCCUACACCUGUGACUGCAGUAGAAAGGAAGAGGUGUAUCGAGUAGCCGACCAGGUUAAAAAAGAAGUCGGUGACAUUUCCAUCCUAAUCAACAAUGCUGGCAUCGUAACAGGCAAAAACUUCCUCAACUGCCCAGAUGAGCUUAUGGAAAAGUCUUUUGAUGUGAAUUUCAAAGCGCAUUUGUGGACUCAUAAAGCCUUUCUACCAGCCAUGAUUGCUAAUGCCCAUGGACACUUGGUCUGCAUUGCAAGUUCAGCUGGAUUAGUUGGAGUAAACGGGCUAGCAGAUUACUGUGCAAGUAAAUUUGCAGCCGUUGGAUUUGCUGAAUCUGUUUUAAUGGAACUAUUUGCCCAGAAAAUAAAGGGGAUCAAGACCACAAUUGUGUGUCCAUUUUUUAUUAAAACUGGAAUGUUUGAAGGUUGUACUACUGGCUGUCCUUCUUUGUUACCGAUUUUGGAACCAGAAUAUGUAGUCAGAAAGAUAGUAGAUGCUAUCCUGCAAGAAAAAGUGUACUUGUAUAUACCAAGAUUUUUAUACAUCCUGAUGUUUUUAAAAAGUAGUCCCAGGAAGAAAGACGAAUGACCUCAUUUCACACUGGGAGAAACUGAGGCUCCCGAGCUCAGGAACUUACCUGAGAUGACCUUGUACAUAACAGAGCUGGGUUUCAAGCCAAGUUCCUCUGACUCCACUUCCAGCCCAUCAUUACAUCGUUUUCCUGCCCGUCAAGUUGGUACUGCUCAUAAAUGAAUUUAUAGGCGGCUUCAAUUUUAUGGAUCGCUUCGUUGGAAAGAAAAAGAACUAAUGACCAACUCUAUGGGUAAUGUCCUCUAAAACCCAAUAUCUAAAACCCAACAUACUGCUUAUGUCAAUAAAGAGAAGGAUUUUUGUCUGAUAAAAUAUAUCUGGGGACGAUAAGUACCGUUCUUGGUCUUCUAUCUGGACUAGAAUAUUCAGCCAAUACAUUUUGUAAAUAA
Molecule: RNA transcript, 1393 nt
Organism: Pipistrellus kuhlii (Kuhl's pipistrelle)
Lineage: Eukaryota; Metazoa; Chordata; Mammalia; Chiroptera; Vespertilionidae
Gene: SDR16C5
Gene name: short chain dehydrogenase/reductase family 16C member 5
Exons: 8
Source: RefSeq, a predicted model, not a curated record